GCCGGAGUCGUUCGGCUACCUCUGUCACAGGGGAAACGCGGGUUCGAAACCCGCCACCGGCU
RNAcentral lists this transfer RNA (62 nucleotides) under Actinophytocola gossypii. Its description in RNAcentral is "tRNA-OTHER". Lineage: Bacteria; Bacillati; Actinomycetota; Actinomycetes; Pseudonocardiales; Pseudonocardiaceae. The record is from RNAcentral.